Molecule: ribosomal RNA, 253 nt
Filed under: uncultured bacterium
Lineage: Bacteria
Also listed under: 1 other name
Description: partial 16S ribosomal RNA
Rfam family: Bacterial small subunit ribosomal RNA
Source: RNAcentral
UACGUAGGGUGCAAGCGUUGUCCGGAUUCACUGGGUGUAAAGGGUGCGCAGGCGGAAUGGUAAGUCAGGGGUGAAAUCUCACAGCUUAACUGUGAAACUGCCUUUGAUACUGUCAUUCUUGAGUUCGGGAGAGGCUGAUGGAAUUCCAGGUGUAGCGGUGAAAUGCGUAGAUAUCUGGAAGAACACCAGUGGCGAAGGCGGUCAGCUGGCCCGUAACUGACGCUCAGGCACGAAAGCGUGGGGAGCAAACAGG